GGGUACCGUCAUUAUCUUCCCCACUGACAGGUGUUUACACCCCGAAGGGCUUCCUCCACCACGCGGCGUCGCUGGGUCAGCCUUCCGGCCAUUGCCCAAGAUUCCCCACUGCUGCCCCCCGUAGGGGUGCGGGCCGUGUCUCAGUCCCACUGUGGCUGGCCAUCCUCUCAGACCAGCUACCCGUCGUCGGCUUGGUGAGCCUUUACCUCACCAACUACCUGAUGGGACGCAGCCCCAUCCUCAGGCGCCCGAAGGCCUUUGGAGGCACAUCUAUUGAUACGCCUCUUUAUUGGGUAUUAGCCCCCCUUUCGAGGGGUUAUCCCCAUCCUGAGGGUAGGUUAGCUACGCGUUACUCACCCGUUCGCCGGUCGCCAGCACCUUUUCCNAAGAAAAGGCCUGCUGCCCCUCGACUUGCAUGUGUUAGGCGCGCCGCCAACGUUCGCGCUGAGCCAGGAUCAAACUCUAAGGGCGAAUUCGUUUAAACCUGCAGGACUAGUCCCUUUAGUGAGGGUUAAUUCUGAGCUUGGCGUAAUCAUGGUCAUAGCUGUUUCCUGUGUGAAAUUGUUAUCCGCUCACAAAUUCCACACAACAUACGAGCCG
This 600-nucleotide ribosomal RNA is filed under the name uncultured Persephonella sp. RNAcentral's name for it is "partial 16S ribosomal RNA". Lineage: Bacteria; Pseudomonadati; Aquificota; Aquificia; Aquificales; Hydrogenothermaceae. The record is from RNAcentral.